This is a non-coding RNA of Pelobates cultripes (western spadefoot toad), 834 nucleotides long. Lineage: Eukaryota; Metazoa; Chordata; Amphibia; Anura; Pelobatidae. The record is from the annotation of a GenBank genome assembly.
GCAUGUUGUAAAACGAAGACAUGAAUUAGAAGGAUUAAUAUUAUUAAUUAUUUCAAUGGCUUUUUUAUAAAGUUCAGCAUCAUGCACAAAUGCUCUUAGUUGAUCAGGUACAGAAGCACUGGAGUACAUGCCAUGCUCCCACUGUUCACUUCCAUCGUUGAUUGCAGGCAUUGUGAGAAUUGUCUUUCCAUUAUACAAGACACUAGAUUGAAUAUGGACUAAUGUAGAGUGUGACAUCUGUUCAUUGGAAGUUAACAAGACUUGGGACAACCUCUCAAAGAACUUGUCAUCUUCAGCCUCCAAGUAGGUCAGGGGACUAAGAUGAAUAGGAACCGUACAUGGCUUCAACAGGAUUGGGAUAAUUGCUUUUUGUACCAUGCAGUCCCUGAAGAUAGAAAGAUUGGCCUCAAAUAGACACCAACGACUACGAACAAAAUCAGGACUCAGCACUACCACAGUCUUUUGACUGCUCUGGAUGCAAUCAACCAUAUUGUCUAUGAUGGUUUUUCCUGGAAGAAAGUCCCUCUCAUGAUAGCAGAUCUUUAAACGUGGGUACAUGUCCUCUAGUUUAUGAAUGAGAUCAUCAACCCAGAUGGAGUCUCCGCUGCUGUAGCUGAUGAAGACAUGGUACUUGUCAUCCUUAUACAGCGGAGGGACAGAGAGGACCAUGGCAUUAUCUACGCUUUCUACAGCAUCCAUAUUUUCAUGCUCCAACCCCUUUGCAAACAGUGAGGUCAAUAUCUUAUAUUUUCACUGGAUCUCAAACUUUUUGUUGAUGAUGUUCUGGUGAAAAGCUAGAACACAAAAUAAGAAAUGUGAGACAGCAAAACAAUG